AUGCUCUGGGCUCCCCUCGUUGUGGUGCUCCUGGGGGUGUGGUGCACAGGUUCCAGCUCCCAGUCUGUGGUGACGCAGCCGCCCACAGAGUCAGUGUCCCCAGGAAACACUGUGAAACUCUCCUGCACCAUGAGCAGUGGGACCAGCAUCAGUGGCUACUAUGCGUACUGGUACCAGCAGAAACCUGGGACCCCCGCUCGGCACCUGCUGAGAUACAAGUCGGAUUCUGAGAAGCACCAGGGCUCCGGGGUCCCCGCUCGCUUCUCUGGCUCCAAAGACACAUCCAGUAACACUGCCUACCUGACCAUCGCCGGUGCCCUUGCGGAGGACGAGGCUGACUAUUACUGUGCUGUGUGGCACAGUAGUGUUUGUCACAGUGAUAUAGUGAGAGGGGAAGUGAGACAAAAACCUCCUCUGCUCUGCCCAGCCGGGGCUUUGUGA
Molecule: non-coding RNA, 441 nt
Organism: Alligator mississippiensis (American alligator)
Lineage: Eukaryota; Metazoa; Chordata; Crocodylia; Alligatoridae
Source: the annotation of a RefSeq genome assembly